AGGCAUUAUGAUAUUUUAUCGUUUAGUGAAUGUUAUUUUUAUGACUUUCUAGUGCUAUUUUUGAGACAAAAACUUAAAAGGUGCUAUUAUUGACAAUUGCCUAAAGAAAAAUUGGUAACAUGCGAGAGUUCUAAAAAAACAAAGUAUAUAUUACAAAGAUACAUACAUAAGUAAAUACAUCCAUAUAUGUAUAUAUGCCGUCAGGUUCAACCACCGUCCUCCUCCGUCAACCACCGCCUUCCUCCGCCAAAAAAGCUGUGGAGCUUCCCCUGCGUCGUCUUCUUCACUGUCAAGAUCUCUUAUCCACCGCCGUCAAGUUUCUGCUCCGUCACCUACCUUCUCCUUGAAGUAGCCUAAAAAAAAAAACAAAACAAAUCAAUUAGAAAUAGCGGAGGUGAAAGCAGAGAAUAGGAAGACGAAGAGAGGUGGCCUGGUGGGCGGUGGUGAUGGUGAGUAGGUAAAACCGAUGAGAAGGUGAAGCCAUGAGUCGAUUGCAGUGGCGGAGCCACCUUGGCGAGAGGGUGGUCAAUUGACCCAUGUGAAACCUAUAAAUAUUAAGUUUUAUGUUUUUACAAUGUUGUUUCUGUGGUAAAUUGGUCAAAAUAUCUAAGUUUGACCCACAUGUCAUGGGUUCAACUCUCAUAUAUGUUAUUUUUUAUCUAUAAUAAUUGAAUUAUGACCCAUGUGGAACUUUGGUCUAGCUCCGCCACUGGUCGAUUGUUACAGAGAAUGAGUAGAAUGAAAGAAGAAAACUCAGAGGAAGGAGAGAGGAAAAGAGAAAAAAAGGAAGAAGAAAGAAACGCAAAUGAUUGUGUCCAUUAGAUGGAUGUUACAAUCAACGGUUGAAAUAGUUUCAGUCAAUCCAAGUCUUUCUUUAUCGACCAAUCAUAUAUUUAUCUUCUUUUUUGCAUUUUCUUAUCAGCCAAUGGGAAAGCACAUGGGAGUGAGUACACGACAACACAUAAAAAUGUCUCCCUUCUUAUUGUGUUUAUGAUAUUCAGACAGUUGAACCAAAAAAAGAUAUUCAGACACGUUUUAAUUUAAUUUUUUUGUGUGUUUGCAACUAGUAUUUUUAUUUGUAAUUAAAUCAUAAUGUUAAUAUUUGAUAUGGAUAGAUUAUGAAUUGGGGUAUAAGAUUUAGAUUAAGAGAUAGGGUUUAGUUAUAGUGUUUGGGAUUUAUAUUUAAGAUCUGAAAUUAAAUUUUGAAAAUAUUAGAUUUUGAAUUUAAGUUUAAAACUUGAAGUAUACAUGUAUUAAAAGGUUUGAUUUAAAAUUUAAUGUUUGUGAUAAGGUUUGGAAUAUGAAUUUGAGGAUGAAGUUUGAAAAUAAUAAGUGUGUAAAGUGAAUUUUAUAAUAUGGAGUUGUGAAAUUAGAGUUUGGUGUGUUAAAGUGAUAAGGUUUAGAUAUAUGGUAUGAGGUUAAUGUUUUUAAAAAUUGUGUAUGGUAUAAAGAAAUGUUGGAUAUUAGACUUAGGUAACAUAGAUAAAAUUUUAAUUAGAUUUAUUGUUUUGUAGAUAAGUUUAAGUUUAGGGUAUAUGUUUGGGAUUUUUCAUGGCUAAAACGUGGCUAUGGUAGCGACAACAUUUUUUCGUGGCUAGCCCGUGGCUAUUUUUUUUAAAAGCAUGGUUAAACGUGGUUAUUUCGUGGCUUUUUUUAAAUUAGCAACGGUUUUGUAGUGGCACUACUAGACCUGGGAUUUUAAACCAAAUCGAACCGAACUCUCCGAACCGAACCGAACCGAAUCGAACCGAAGUUUGGGAAAUUCGGUUUAGUUUUAGUUAAGAGCAUGAAACCGAUCGGUAAAAUUUAAAAUCAUAAUCGGUUAUCGGUUAAUUCGGUUCGGUUCACUAAAACCGAACGGUUAAUCAAAUUAAAAAAAAAAAAAAAACAAUACCUUUACUCUUCGUCUUAGGCGUCAAAACCUAAUCUUCUUCGUUUCCCCAUCUCAUCCCGUCUUCUUCGUUUCACCAUCUCGUCGUAUUUUUAUCCUUUCACCACCUCAUCCCAUCUUCUUCUUCACCAUCUCAUCUCCCUUUACAUCUAUCUCUGCUUCGUUUUCUUCUCCCAUUUCGUUUUCAUUUCUUGAUUGGUUUUCCUCAUUUGAUUCAUUUCUUCCCUGCUUUAGUUAAUAGGUAUAACUAUUCUCCUUUCACUUUUCUUCUUCUCUGUUUCGCUUGAUAAAAUUAGGUUCUGAUUCAUUCUUCAUCGACAGAGUAACACCGUUACCAAAACUUCGGCAACCAAAACCAUAAACCGAAGCAACCGACUCCGAACCGAACCGAAUCAAUGAUUUAUUCGGUUCAAUUCAGAAGCUUUUCCUCAAUCCGAAAUAACCGAAGAACGGUACUAACCAAACCGAAGUAUCCGUAGAAACCAAAGUCGCAAGCCUAGGCACUACCAUAGCUAUGAAGAAGAUUUGUACUAGUGGAUGAUUUAUAACAUUUCUACGGAAGCAUUUGUUAAAGCAUAGCUACUACAUAUACGUAUACCGUACUGAUUUGAACUGAAACAUGCAUUUUAGGAAAUGAGGGAAAUCACAACUUUUUGCCUCUGCUUUUGGGCAACUCCAG
This 2570-nucleotide long non-coding RNA is filed under the name Brassica napus (rape). RNAcentral describes it as "long non-coding RNA (BNAP_LNC025085)". Lineage: Eukaryota; Viridiplantae; Streptophyta; Magnoliopsida; Brassicales; Brassicaceae. The record is from RNAcentral.